GGUUCCAUAGUGUAGUGGUUAAGACGUUUGCUUUAUAUGCAUAAGGUCCUGGGUUCACGCCCCAGUGGAGCCA
RNAcentral lists this transfer RNA (73 nucleotides) under Pteropus alecto (black flying fox). It matches the Rfam family "tRNA". From Rfam's summary of the family: Transfer RNA (tRNA) molecules are approximately 80 nucleotides in length. Their secondary structure includes four short double-helical elements and three loops (D, anti-codon, and T loops). The record is from Rfam by way of RNAcentral. Lineage: Eukaryota; Metazoa; Chordata; Mammalia; Chiroptera; Pteropodidae.